RNAcentral lists this ribosomal RNA (66 nucleotides) under Akanthomyces dipterigenus. RNAcentral's name for it is "Lecanicillium longisporum partial 28S ribosomal RNA". The record is from RNAcentral. Lineage: Eukaryota; Fungi; Ascomycota; Sordariomycetes; Hypocreales; Cordycipitaceae.
CGUUGACCUCGGAUCAGGUAGGAAUACCCGCUGAACUUAAGCAUUUAAGGGGGGGGAAAGGAAAAA